This is a small nuclear RNA of Cercocebus atys (sooty mangabey), 107 nucleotides long. NCBI's taxonomy places the organism in Eukaryota, Metazoa, Chordata, Mammalia, Primates, Cercopithecidae. The record is from Ensembl.
GUACUUGCUUUGACAGCACACACAGUAACAUUUGCAACGUACAAGGAAGAUUAACUGACCUGCUGCACAAAGAUGACACACAAAUUUGUGAAGAUGGUUCUUUUUAU